UUCCAAUCUCGAUCCCUUGUCACACGCGUCACGCUUCCAAUCCGCCGACCUUCCGCUCCGACCGCAGCAGGUCCAGGAGCCGGAGGGGUGGUGCUGGGCGUCGUUCCGUGCCAGGAUUCCGCGGAAAAAGAAGAAAACUCCGGCCGCCGCGCCAUGUCAAUUCCAGCGCCUCUGGAGGAUGAGGACCUCCUCAGGGAGAUCCUCCUCCGGCUGCCUCCGCUGCCGUCAACCCUCUCCCGUGCCUCCCUCGUAUGCACGCGCUGGCGCCGCAUCCUCUCCGAUCCCCGCUUCCUACGCCGUUUCAGCAGACACCACCCGGAACCUCCUCUCUUAGGUUUCUUCAAAGGGUCUACCCCAUAUCCCUUCUUAAUUCCUGUCCUGGACCCGCCCGAUCGCAUCCCUGCCGAGCGCUUCUUUCUGCCUGAGAUCACGGGGGAUUGGGAGUUCCUUGGCUGCCGCCACGGCCUCGCCGUCAUGCUCAGCGAGUCUCUGUGUGAGGUCUUCGUGUGGGAUCCCCUCAACGGCCAGCAGCACCGCGUGCCUUUUCCACUGGAGCUCCGCGACGCCAAAAGGGAGAGUUUCUGUAGGUGCAGCGCCACGGUGAUGUGUGUUGAUGAUCAAGACGGGCAUGUGCAGGACGAUUGCUUCUUGAACCCGUCCUUCAAAUUGGUCUUGAUCUGCUCCCGUAGAGACCUGAAGACGUCAUUAGCUUGUGCCUACGAAUCAGUGUCGGGUGUAUGGGGGAAUAUUGUCUCAGCGUCGACUAGAAGGAUGGUUAUGAAGCUAAAGCCCAGCAUCCUUAUCAGGAGUGCAGUUUACUGGUUGCUGCAUGGAGGUCAAAUCCUUGCAUUCGAUAUUCAAAGGCAGACUCUUGCUGUCAUCGAGACGCCCGUAGAUGCCCAACGUUGGUCCUUUCAGCUCUUACGGACAGAUGAAGAUAGCGUUCUUGGCCUCGCCGCUAUGUCGAAACUGGGCAUUCAUAUAUGGGAGAGGAAACUCAACUCUGAUGGUGUUGCCGGAUGGGUGCUUCUGCAGAAAAUCAAUCAAUUGGAGGGGAUGUUGUCUAACGACUUCAUAAAUGGAGGGAUGGUGGGGUAUGACGAGGAGUUAAAUGUGGUGGUUUUGUCUACAUACGAGUAUUUAACCAAAAACUAUCACAAUUCGCGGAAACGUGACAGAAAACUACCACUUUACGAUUUUGUCCCGAAAACUACCACUUUUUUAUUAAUCCGUGGCAAAAAACUA
This 1245-nucleotide ribosomal RNA is filed under the name Triticum aestivum (bread wheat). RNAcentral's name for it is "partial small subunit ribosomal RNA". Lineage: Eukaryota; Viridiplantae; Streptophyta; Magnoliopsida; Poales; Poaceae. The record is from RNAcentral.